This 171-nucleotide ribosomal RNA is filed under the name uncultured bacterium. RNAcentral describes it as "partial 16S ribosomal RNA". The record is from RNAcentral.
UAUUACCGCGGCUGCUGGCACGAAGUUAGCCGGGGCUUAUUCCUCCGGUACCGUCAUUGUCGUCCCGGAUAAAAGAGCUUUACAACCCUAAGGCCUUCAUCACUCACGCGGCAUGGCUGGAUCAGGCUUGCGCCCAUUGUCCAAUAUUCCCCACUGCUGCCUCCCGUAGGA